RNAcentral lists this ribosomal RNA (504 nucleotides) under uncultured bacterium. Its description in RNAcentral is "bacterial SSU rRNA". It matches the Rfam family "Bacterial small subunit ribosomal RNA", at positions 107 to 607 of the family's 1533-position model. The record is from RNAcentral.
UGAGUAAUGCCUAGGAAUCUGCCUGGUAGUGGGGGACAACGUUUCGAAAGGAACGCUAAUACCGCAUACGUCCUACGGGAGAAAGCAGGGGACCUUCGGGCCUUGCGCUAUCAGAUGAGCCUAGGUCGGAUUAGCUAGUUGGUGAGGUAAUGGCUCACCAAGGCGACGAUCCGUAACUGGUCUGAGAGGAUGAUCAGUCACACUGGAACUGAGACACGGUCCAGACUCCUACGGGAGGCAGCAGUGGGGAAUAUUGGACAAUGGGCGAAAGCCUGAUCCAGCCAUGCCGCGUGUGUGAAGAAGGUCUUCGGAUUGUAAAGCACUUUAAGUUGGGAGGAAGGGCAGUCAGCGAAUACCUUGCUGUCUUGACGUUACCGACAGAAUAAGCACCGGCUAACUCUGUGCCAGCAGCCGCGGUAAUACAGAGGGUGCAAGCGUUAAUCGGAAUUACUGGGCGUAAAGCGCGCGUAGGUGGUUUGUUAAGUUGGAUGUGAAAUCCCCGGG